CCCGCUGAACUUAAGCAUAUCACUAAGCGGAGGAAAAGAAAUUAACUAAGAUUGCCUCAGUAACGGCGAGUGAAGUGGCAAAAGCCCAAACUGGAAAUCUCCAUGCUUCGCAUGGCGAAUUGUAAUCUAAAGGUGGGAAGCUUACCUAGUUGUGACGCAUAAGUGCUCAAGAAAGGGCCGCCAGAGAGGGUGAAAGCCCCGUAUUUGGCGUCACGACUUACCGAGCUCCUUUCAAAGAGUCGGGUUGUUUUGAACUACAGCCCUAAGCUGGGAGAUAGACUUCUUCUAAGGCUAAAUAUAUAUGGGAAACCGAUAGCGAACAAGUACUGUGAAGGAAAGAUGAAAAGAACUUUGAAAAGAGAGUGACAAGACUUGAAAUCGUUGAGAAGGAAGCGGUAGAAAUUUAUUCUUCUGGUGAGAACGAAGGUGUUUGUCUAACCAUUGGGGCUCGUGAGCACUUCAUAGGCUCUGGGUUUCACUUGGGGAAGCGAUAGCUGGGUUCUCACCGUGAGGCAAAAUGAGGUUUCAUUCUCUCAAAAGCUGCUUUGACCUGGUUGGCUUCGGCUGGCAGUCCUGGUGUGCUCGAGAGAGUGGAGCCUGAGGAGCCUUGUGCGAUUUUGCCAAAAUGGUUUUUACCGACCCGUCUUGAAACACGG
This 656-nucleotide ribosomal RNA is filed under the name uncultured fungus. Its description in RNAcentral is "eukaryotic LSU rRNA". It matches the Rfam family "Eukaryotic large subunit ribosomal RNA", at positions 24 to 664 of the family's 3401-position model. The record is from RNAcentral. Lineage: Eukaryota; Fungi.